AGUGAACGCUGGCGGUAGGCCUAACACAUGCAAGUCGAACGGCAGCACAGAGGAGCUUGCUCCUUGGGUGGCGAGUGACGGACGGGUGAGGAAUACAUCGGAAUCUACUCUGUCGUGGGGGAUAACGUAGGGAAACUUACGCUAAUACCGCAUACGACCUACGGGUGAAAGCAGGGGAUCUUCGGACCUUGCGCGAUUGAAUGAGCCGAUGUCGGAUUAGCUAGUUGGCGGGGUAAAGGCCCACCAAGGCGACGAUCCGUAGCUGGUCUGAGAGGAUGAUCAGCCACACUGGAACUGGGACACGGUCCAGACUCCUACGGGAGGCAGCAGUGGGGAAUAUUGGACAAUGGGCGCAAGCCUGAUCCAGCCAUACCGCGUGGGUGAAGAAGGCCUUCGGGUUGUAAAGCCCUUUUGUUGGGAGAGAAAUCCAUCUGGCUAAUACCCGGGUGGGAUGACGGUACCCAAAGAAUAAGCACCGGCUAACUUCGUGCCAGCCGCCGCCGUAA
This 506-nucleotide ribosomal RNA is filed under the name uncultured bacterium. RNAcentral's name for it is "partial 16S ribosomal RNA". It matches the Rfam family "Bacterial small subunit ribosomal RNA", at positions 29 to 523 of the family's 1533-position model. The record is from RNAcentral.